RNAcentral lists this ribosomal RNA (429 nucleotides) under Chloroflexota bacterium. Its description in RNAcentral is "Chloroflexi bacterium partial 16S ribosomal RNA". It matches the Rfam family "Bacterial small subunit ribosomal RNA", at positions 355 to 776 of the family's 1533-position model. Lineage: Bacteria; Bacillati; Chloroflexota. The record is from RNAcentral.
UGGGGAAUAUUGCACAAUGGGCGCAAGCCUGAUGCAGCCAUGCCGCGUGUAUGAAGAAGGCCUUCGGGUUGUAAAGUACUUUCAGUCGGGAGGAAGGUGGUAAGGUUAAUAACCUUAUCAAUUGACGUUACCGACAGAAGAAGCACCGCCUAACUCCGUGCCAGCAGCCGCGGUAAUACGGAGGGUGCAAGCGUUAAUCGGAAUUACUGGGCGUAAAGCGCACGCAGGCGGUUGAUUGAGUCAGAUGUGAAAUCCCCGGGCUUAACCCGGGAAUUGCAUCUGAUACUGGUCAGCUAGAGUCUUGUAGAGGGGGGUAGAAUUCCAUGUGGAGCGGUGAAAUGCGUAGAGAUGUGGAGGAAUACCGGUGGCGAAGGCGGCCCCCUGGACAAAGACUGACGCUCAGGUGCGAAAGCGUGGGGAGCAAACAGG